GCUUAAAUAAUUUAACAAAAAUAUUGGUUUUGUAAACCAAAAAUAAGGACACCCUUUUUAGGCU
RNAcentral lists this transfer RNA (64 nucleotides) under Panchlora nivea. Its description in RNAcentral is "tRNA-Thr". It matches the Rfam family "tRNA". From Rfam's summary of the family: Transfer RNA (tRNA) molecules are approximately 80 nucleotides in length. Their secondary structure includes four short double-helical elements and three loops (D, anti-codon, and T loops). The record is from RNAcentral. Lineage: Eukaryota; Metazoa; Arthropoda; Insecta; Blattodea; Blaberidae.